Mastomys coucha (southern multimammate mouse) is the source of this 485-nucleotide long non-coding RNA. RefSeq lists it as uncharacterized. The record is from RefSeq and is a predicted model, not a curated record. The transcript is spliced from 3 exons. NCBI's taxonomy places the organism in Eukaryota, Metazoa, Chordata, Mammalia, Rodentia, Muridae.
CAAAGGACACUUAUAGCCAGGCCUUAUUCUGAGAAUAUAGCAUGCAACUGAAACAAUCAUUGUCAAGGAACAUAUAAUCCAUGAAGGGCUAGCCUUCUGGAGUGUCAGCAGGAAGAUGGAGGAUCUGCAUUAGACAGAUCCCUGUUUUCUUACUGGGUCGGGGGAGGGGACAGGAUGGAGAAAAAUGCUGUUAUGACUACACAAUUCUCAUAGCAGGAAGGAUGCCAUUAUGACUGCACUCCUUCCCAUCUUUAACCUUCUUCCUAUCUAUCCUGGAUAGCUUUGUCAACUUGACAUAACCCACAGUCACCUGAGCAGAGAACUUUAAGAGAGAAAUUGCUUUGAUCAGAUUGGCCUCAACAGAAAUGGAAAUGGAGAACUACCAGAUGCAGAGGUCACGACCAGGGCUGCAACGGCAAGUGUGGGAAGCAGAACUGAACAUGAAUCUAGGGCUGGUGAGAUGGCUCAGCGGGGAAGAGCACCGA